Molecule: microRNA, 21 nt
Filed under: Homo sapiens (human)
Lineage: Eukaryota; Metazoa; Chordata; Mammalia; Primates; Hominidae
Description: hsa-miR-3186-3p
Source: miRBase by way of RNAcentral
UCACGCGGAGAGAUGGCUUUG